CGGGCUAUAGCGCAGCUUGGUAGCGCGCCUGCUUUGGGAGCAGAAUGUCGCCGGUUCAAAUCCGGCUAGCCCGA
This 74-nucleotide transfer RNA is filed under the name Bifidobacterium miconisargentati. Its description in RNAcentral is "tRNA-Pro". It matches the Rfam family "tRNA". From Rfam's summary of the family: Transfer RNA (tRNA) molecules are approximately 80 nucleotides in length. Their secondary structure includes four short double-helical elements and three loops (D, anti-codon, and T loops). The record is from RNAcentral. Lineage: Bacteria; Bacillati; Actinomycetota; Actinomycetes; Bifidobacteriales; Bifidobacteriaceae.